CUCUGCUGGGAUGGGUUCAAAGUAGAGAAAGUGGAAAAGGGAAGAGUUGCUUGGGAGAGGGAGGGAACGGGCCGCAGAGUCGCCGAUCCGGGGGAGGAAUGAUCAAGAGUCCCCUGGACCAUGCAGCAGGAGGUGAGCAGCAGGUUGCACGCUCCUUAUAAGAGUCCAAUGCCUGAUGAUCUGAGGUGGAGCUGAGGCAGUGAUGCAAGCACUGGGGAGAGGCUGCAAGUGUUGCAUUAAGAGGUGGUCUCCAGCUCCGUCUGCACAGGGAAUCCAUCUGGGGAAAACUACCUCAUCACGUCUACAGCUCUUGAAACAAUGCCUGAAAAAUUACUUGAUUAUUUUAUUGCAGCUUAUCCUCAUCUUAUAAAGCUGUGUUGAUGAAGAAAAAUGAAAGUGCCCAUAGUAGUGUUAAAAAGCUUGUAUACAGCAAGCAAGCACAAAGAUAACUCACAGAACAGGGGAAAGUGUAAACCAUUGAGCUCAUAUGGGACUGGUCUUCAGAAUAUAUAAAGAGCUCUUACUACCUCAAUUAUCAAAGAAAAGAACCUAAUUAAAAAGUAGGCAAAUGGGGAC
Molecule: long non-coding RNA, 576 nt
Organism: Tupaia belangeri chinensis (Chinese tree shrew)
Lineage: Eukaryota; Metazoa; Chordata; Mammalia; Scandentia; Tupaiidae
Exons: 4
Source: RefSeq, a predicted model, not a curated record